GCUUGGAUAAGGUACUCUAUUUUGUGAAUUUUGCCAGAAUAAUUUACCUUAUCCUUGGA
This 59-nucleotide microRNA precursor is filed under the name Sarcophilus harrisii (Tasmanian devil). RNAcentral describes it as "Sha-Mir-7371-o13_pre stem-loop". It matches the Rfam family "mir-7386 microRNA precursor family". Lineage: Eukaryota; Metazoa; Chordata; Mammalia; Dasyuromorphia; Dasyuridae. The record is from RNAcentral.